CCUACGGGAGGCUGCAGUGGGGAAUAUUGGACAAUGGGGGGAACCCUGAUCCAGCCAUGCCGCGUGUGUGAAGAAGGCCCUCGGGUUGUAAAGCACUUUCAGUGAGGAAGAACGCCUGGUGGUUAAUACCCAUCAGGAAAGACAUCACUCACAGAAGAAGCACCGGCUAACUCCGUGCCAGCAGCCGCGGUAAUACGGAGGGUGCGGGCGUUAAUCGGAAUUACUGGGCGUAAAGCGCGCGUAGGUGGCUUGAUAAGCCGGUUGUGAAAGCCCCGGGCUCAACCUGGGAACGGCAUCCGGAACUGUCAAGCUAGAGUGCAGGAGAGGAAGGUAGAAUUCCCGGUGUAGCGGUGAAAUGCGUAGAGAUCGGGAGGAAUACCAGUGGCGAAGGCGGCCUUCUGGACUGACACUGACACUGAGGUGCGAAAGCGUGGGUAGCAAACAGGAUUAGAUACCCCAGUAGUC
Molecule: ribosomal RNA, 465 nt
Filed under: Vreelandella stevensii
Lineage: Bacteria; Pseudomonadati; Pseudomonadota; Gammaproteobacteria; Oceanospirillales; Halomonadaceae
Description: partial 16S ribosomal RNA
Rfam family: Bacterial small subunit ribosomal RNA
Source: RNAcentral